GACGAACGCUGGCGGCGUGCCUAAUACAUGCAAGUCGAGCGAGCGGAUCUAACCGAUUUGCUUCGGUAAUGACGUUAGGAGAGCGAGCGGCGGAUGGGUGAGUAACACGUGGGGAACCUGCCCCAUAGUCUGGGAUACCACUUGGAAACAGGUGCUAAUACCGGAUAAGAAAGCAGAUCGCAUGAUCAGCUUUUAAAAGGCGGCGUAAGCUGUCGCUAUGGGAUGGCCCCGCGGUGCAUUAGCUAGUUGGUAAGGUAAAGGCUUACCAAGGCGAUGAUGCAUAGCCGAUAUGAGGGACUGAUCGGCCACAUUGGGACUGAGACACGGCCCACACUCCUACGGGAGGCAGCAGUAGGGAAUCUUCCACAAUGGACGAAAGUCUGAUAGAGCAACGCCGCGUGAGUGCAGAAGGUUUUCGGAUCGUAAAGCUCUGUUGUUGGUGAAGAAGGAUAGAGGUAGUAACUGGCCUUUAUUUGACGGUAACCAACCAGAAAGUCACGGCUAACUACGUG
This 512-nucleotide ribosomal RNA is filed under the name uncultured bacterium. RNAcentral describes it as "partial 16S ribosomal RNA". It matches the Rfam family "Bacterial small subunit ribosomal RNA", at positions 28 to 507 of the family's 1533-position model. The record is from RNAcentral.